CAACACCCGUUCCCAUCCCGAACACGGCAGUUAAGCCCUCCAGCGCCGAUGGUACUGGUUUUCCGGGAGAGUAGGUCGCUGCCAGAG
Molecule: ribosomal RNA, 87 nt
Filed under: Syntrophomonadaceae bacterium
Lineage: Bacteria; Bacillati; Bacillota; Clostridia; Eubacteriales; Syntrophomonadaceae
Source: RNAcentral